CCCUGCCAUUUGUACACACCGCCCGUCGCUACUACCGAUUGAAUGGUUUAGUGAGGCCUUCGGAUCGACGCCGGUAGCUGUUUACAGCCACUUGGUGUUGAAAAGUUGGUCAAACUUGGUCAUUUAGAGGAAGUAAAAGUCGUAACAAGGUUU
Molecule: ribosomal RNA, 153 nt
Filed under: uncultured eukaryote
Lineage: Eukaryota
Description: partial small subunit ribosomal RNA
Rfam family: Eukaryotic small subunit ribosomal RNA
Source: RNAcentral